Molecule: ribosomal RNA, 499 nt
Filed under: uncultured bacterium
Lineage: Bacteria
Description: bacterial SSU rRNA
Rfam family: Bacterial small subunit ribosomal RNA
Source: RNAcentral
AGAGUUUGAUCCUGGCUCAGGACGAACGCUGGCGGCGUGCUUAACACAUGCAAGUCGAACGAUGAUGCCCUGCUUGCAGGGUGGAUUAGUGGCGAACGGGUGAGUAACACGUGGGUGAUCUACCCUGCACUUCGGGAUAAGCCUGGGAAACUGGGUCUAAUACCGGAUAUGACCCUCCUUUAGUGUGGGGGGUGGAAAGCUUUUGCGGUGUGGGAUGAGCCUGCGGCCUAUCAGCUUGUUGGUGGGGUAAUGGCCUACCAAGGCGUCGACGGGUAGCCGGCCUGAGAGGGCGACCGGCCACAUUGGGACUGAGACACGGCCCAAACUCCUACGGGAGGCAGCAGUGGGGAAUAUUGCGCAAUGGAGAAGAACUCUGACGCAGCAAUACCGCGUGAGCGAAGAAGGUCUUCGGAUCGUAAAGCUCUGUUAUCAGGGAAGAAGAAAAUGACGGUACCUGAUGAGCAAGCCCCGGCUAACUACGUGCCAGCAGCCGCGGUAA